This 71-nucleotide transfer RNA is filed under the name Candidatus Pacearchaeota archaeon. RNAcentral's name for it is "tRNA-Ala". It matches the Rfam family "tRNA". Rfam says of the family: Transfer RNA (tRNA) molecules are approximately 80 nucleotides in length. Their secondary structure includes four short double-helical elements and three loops (D, anti-codon, and T loops). Further hydrogen bonds mediate the characteristic L-shaped molecular structure. tRNAs have two regions of fundamental functional importance: the anti-codon, which is responsible for specific mRNA codon recognition, and the 3' end, to which the tRNAs corresponding amino acid is attached (by aminoacyl-tRNA synthetases). tRNAs cope with the degeneracy of the genetic code in two manners: having more than one tRNA (with a specific anti-codon) for a particular amino acid; and 'wobble' base-pairing, i.e. permitting non-standard base-pairing at the 3rd anti-codon position. The record is from RNAcentral. Lineage: Archaea; Nanobdellati.
GGGCCUGUAGUCUAAUGGUAGAACACAUCGUUUGCAACGACGAGACCCGAGUUCGAUUCUCGGCAGGUCCA